RNAcentral lists this ribosomal RNA (548 nucleotides) under uncultured archaeon. Its description in RNAcentral is "bacterial SSU rRNA". It matches the Rfam family "Archaeal small subunit ribosomal RNA", at positions 326 to 874 of the family's 1478-position model. The record is from RNAcentral.
CGGGGUGCAGCAGGCGCGAAAACUUUACAAUGCUGGCAACAGCGAUAAGGGGACCUCGAGUGCCAGGAUAUAAUCUUGGCUGUCGUGAUGCCUAAAAAGCAUUGCAUAGCAAGGGCCGGGCAAGACCGGUGCCAGCCGCCGCGGUAACACCGGCGGCUCGAGUGGUAACCGCUAUUAUUGGGUCUAAAGGGUCUGUAGCCGGCCGGAUAAGUCUCUUGGGAAAUCCGACAGCUCAACUGUCGGGCUUUCAGGGGGUACUGUUCGGCUCGAGGCCGGGAGAGGUGAGAGGUACUUCAGGGGUAGGGGUGAAAUCUUGUAAUCCUUGAAGGACCACCAGUGGCGAAGGCGUCUCACCAGAACGGUCCUGACGGCAAGGGACGAAAGCUAGGGGCACGAACCGGAUUAGAUACCCGGGUAGUCCUAGCCGUAAACGAUACUCGCUAGGUGUCGGCCACGGUGCGACCGUGGUCGGUGCCGUAGGGAAGCCGUGAAGCGAGCCACCUGGGAAGUACGGCCGCAAGGCUGAAACUUAAAGGAAUUGGCGGGGG